Molecule: long non-coding RNA, 724 nt
Filed under: Homo sapiens (human)
Lineage: Eukaryota; Metazoa; Chordata; Mammalia; Primates; Hominidae
Description: non-protein coding lnc-CARD6-5:2
Source: RNAcentral
AUCCUCGGGCCUGAGCGCCCGCCCACCGGCACGCGGAGGGGCUUCCUGGAACGAUUAGGCGGACCGUCGCCCCCAGGCUCCUUUCUCCCCUGGCGGAGUUUCUGCCCGCUGCGAUCUUCCCUAACUACCACUCUGCGGUCGCAGAAGACCAUCCAGAGGGGAGAUGAGGACUGGGAAGCCCGCUUGAGUGAUGCACAUCUGUGGCUUGUUACGAGAGCCGCGUGAAUUAAAGCAAGGCAGGGGACACCGCCCUGCCACUGCUUUCUAACCUUGAUUUUCAUCUUUCCUUCUCGGAUGGAAUCUAGAAGCCGCAGGAGUUUUCACUUGCGUCUGUGAUGGAGUUUCCCGCUCCCCGCCCCCCCGCACCAACCCGAGCUCUUUUUUCGCUUGGAGCCCGUAAGUUGCUAGAGGGCACCACGAUGGCUCUAGGAGCGCUGUCGGUGUUUUCUUCUGGAGGUGAUCCUGAAAUUUCCUCCCCAAAGCAAGCUCUGUUGCGAGGAGCAGGCUGGGGAUAUGUGCAAGUGAAUGUGUAUUCCAAGAGGGGGAUGAUACGCAGAUCUUUUGGUGUAUAGGAAUUAAUACUUUUAGAUUAUCAGUAAAAUGUAUACUUUCACUGGACUGAGAGAGAACAAGGCUUACGGUUACAUCAACCGGAUCAACAAAUAUUUAUUGUACUUGUAAUGAGUAAUACUUAGUCUAUUAUAUAAACAUAAAUGGAACCAUA